AACGAACGCUGGCGGCAUGCCUAACACAUGCAAGUCGAACGAGACCUUCGGGUCUAGUGGCGCACGGGUGCGUAACGCGUGGGAACCUGCCCUUAGGUUCGGAAUAACUCCCCGAAAGGGGUGCUAAUACCGGAUAAUGUCUUCGGACCAAAGAUUUAUCGCCUUUGGAUGGGCCCGCGUUGGAUUAGCUAGUUGGUAGGGUUAAAGCCUACCAAGGCGACGAUCCAUAGCUGGUCUGAGAGGAUGAUCAGCCACACUGGGACUGAGACACGGCCCAGACUCCUACGGGAGGCAGCAGUGGGGAAUAUUGGACAAUGGGCGAAAGCCUGAUCCAGCAAUGCCGCGUGAGUGAUGAAGGCCUUAGGGUUGUAAAGCUCUUUUACCCGGGAUGAUAAUGACAGUACCGGGAGAAUAAGCUCCGGCCAACUCCGU
This 432-nucleotide ribosomal RNA is filed under the name uncultured bacterium. Its description in RNAcentral is "partial 16S ribosomal RNA". It matches the Rfam family "Bacterial small subunit ribosomal RNA", at positions 29 to 506 of the family's 1533-position model. The record is from RNAcentral.